This 253-nucleotide ribosomal RNA is filed under the name uncultured bacterium. RNAcentral describes it as "partial 16S ribosomal RNA". It matches the Rfam family "Bacterial small subunit ribosomal RNA", at positions 524 to 776 of the family's 1533-position model. The record is from RNAcentral.
UACGUAGGGGGCAAGCGUUGUCCGGAAUCAUUGGGCGUAAAGCGCGUGUAGGCGGCCCGGUAAGUCCGCUGUGAAAGUCGGGGGCUCAACCCUCGAAUGCCGGUGGAUACUGUCGGGCUAGAGUGCGGAAGAGGCGAGUGGAAUUCCUGGUGUAGCGGUGAAAUGCGUAGAUAUCUGGAGGAACACCGGUGGCGAAGGCGGCAUCCUGGACCGACACUGACGCUGAGGAGCGAAAGCCAGGGGAGCAAACGGG